This is a long non-coding RNA of Chenopodium quinoa (quinoa), 930 nucleotides long. RefSeq lists it as uncharacterized. The transcript is spliced from 3 exons. The record is from RefSeq and is a predicted model, not a curated record. Lineage: Eukaryota; Viridiplantae; Streptophyta; Magnoliopsida; Caryophyllales; Amaranthaceae.
AUUUAAUUUGAAUCCAUGUAAAUGAGUGAUUAAUUUUGAGUUUUUGUGGUGGUAGACGUAUUGAAUUAUGAAUAAGUGAUAUUGUUAUAUUAAGAAAUUAUGACUGUUGUGGUAUGUAUAUGUGAAUAUAAUGGAGUAAUUAUAUGUGAAGAGUUAAGGGUUUGUUGAAAUGGUAUUAUGUAGUUGGGAAAUCCCAUUUAUUGAGCGUUCAUUUGAACUUGGCAAGAGGAAAUAAAGCCAAAGAAGAGCAAGGGAUCAGGAUUGGUGAGUUAUUGUUUGUUGAAAUUAAAAGAUUGUGUGUUUGCUUAGUGAUGGUUGUGUGUUGCAGUUGAUUUUUUCUGGCAAAUAUAUGUGUAUGUGUAGGCGCGGUCGAAAGCCGUGAAUGAGGAGGCGCCUAAAAAGAAAGUAGCUAGUAGAGGGAAGAAGAAACUGAAAUCUGAUCCAGUUUUUUAGGAAGAGUAUUUAAAUGACUCUGAUGAAGCUGGUUCUGAUGAUGGUGGUUAUGAUGAAUCUCGUGGUGAUGAAUCUGGUUAUGAUGAUGCUAAUUCCGCAGAUGGUGAUUAUGAGGUAGAUGAGGAUGUGGAGGACGACAGUGAAGGUAGUGAGGAAGAGCUUGAGCAGGACAAAGUGAGCUACCAGGAUCUCCUAAUCAAGUUAUUGCGGGAAAAGGUUGAGAAAGGGAAGCGCAAGCGAGGUCAUAUUGAGAAAAAGACAGGAAAAAGGGGCAAGCUAAAGGUCGAGAAGACGAAGGGAGAAGUGGCGAAGGAGAAAGGGGUUGUCGUUAAAACCCAAUCAAGAAGUACGCAGAAGGCCCCAAAUUUGCAUGGUGUGAAGGCUUUUGCAACUGCAGUGAAGAAGUUUGAUGACUCUAGGAAGAAGCUAGUCACAGAAAUGGGUUUUGGAGGGUUGUUAAGUAUACCCCUAACUUUU